Molecule: non-coding RNA, 24 nt
Filed under: Arabidopsis thaliana (thale cress)
Lineage: Eukaryota; Viridiplantae; Streptophyta; Magnoliopsida; Brassicales; Brassicaceae
Source: RNAcentral
ACGCAUUUCCAAGCCUCUGACCUC